UACGUAGGUGGCAAGCGUUAUCCGGAAUUAUUGGGCGUAAAGCGCGCGCAGGUGGUUUCUUAAGUCUGAUGUGAAAGCCCACGGCUCAACCGUGGAGGGUCAUUGGAAACUGGGAGACUUGAGUGCAGAAGAGGAAAGUGGAAUUCCAUGUGUAGCGGUGAAAUGCGUAGAUAUCGGGAGGAACACCAGUAGCGAAGGCGCCCUUCUGGACGGUUACUGACGCUGAGGCGCGAAAGCGUGGGGAGCAAACAGG
RNAcentral lists this ribosomal RNA (253 nucleotides) under uncultured microorganism. RNAcentral's name for it is "partial 16S ribosomal RNA". It matches the Rfam family "Bacterial small subunit ribosomal RNA", at positions 524 to 776 of the family's 1533-position model. The record is from RNAcentral.